Non-coding RNA from Chrysemys picta bellii (western painted turtle), 3290 nucleotides. The record is from RefSeq and is a predicted model, not a curated record. NCBI's taxonomy places the organism in Eukaryota, Metazoa, Chordata, Testudines, Emydidae.
CCAGACAGCAAGUGUGAAAAAUCGGGACAGGGGGUGGGGGGUAAUAGGAGCCUAUAUAAGAAAAAGACCCAAAAAUCGGGACUGUCCCUAUAAAAUCGGGACAUCUGGUCACCCUAAUGGCAUCGCACUCCAGUCUAGAGCUCCACCUACGUCACUUUCAGUGAUCUCUGCUGGGUCCAGACCAACACAGACGCCAGAACAAGGCUCCCAGGGCGAGCACGACCUUUCCCCCAAACACAUGCUAGUGGGUUCCUUCCCCUUUCUCUCUGCCUGGGAGACACACAAGCAGCCCUGCUGGGACUUGCAUUUGGUCCGAUUCUCUGCUGCCCUGGCUUCAAAUGGAUGCAAAACGCUACUCGGUGAAGCCAGUAACGAUUCGUUCCCACUUUGCACUGGUGCAAAUAACUGUGCAAGGUGCAGGGGGAAUGGGGCCCUUGGUAUCAUUUACACCAGGGUAGAAUUUGACCCACUCUCUUUAAACCUGUCCUCAGCAGCAAGCGGACGAGCAGGAAUUAGCUGCUGGGUGUGGGUUUGCCAGGGCUUUCUUUAGCCAAAACCAUUGGCAUUUCGAGCAGACGGGAUGGCGUUUGGAGCAGGGGCAGUAGCUGGAGCGAGGAAGCAGAGCUCCCUCCCCCACCCCCCACCUUGUCAGGGCUGUUUUAAAAGCAUUGCUCUUAGAUGCAGGGAUUUUUUUGAUUCCCAUUAACGCCAAAUGCCCCUUUCCCCUGGAGUCCCGCAGAGCUGGGGGGUGGCAGCAUCCACACCCUGUCCUGCCCGGAGCGACGCUCAGCUCCAGUAACCCCGGGGUCACUUUGUUACCUUGUCUCACACUCACUGCGUUGCUGCUGCUUCUUCUUUCUAGUCUGGGUUUGUCUGAAUAAAAUUCAUCUGUGAGCGAGUGGAGUUCUGGGCGGUGUCUUUCUUCGGACCUCGGGGCUCGGCGCUCUAGGUGGAAGUGAAAGAUAAGGGUGCUGGCUCUUGUCUGUAGCCCCUCCAGUCUCCCAGGCCCUGUGUCAGCUCCCACUGGCCAGAGACCAGACCUCUGGCUGACCCCACACACUGCACUGCUGCUCUCCGUCCCUGCACGGCCCCAUUCUGCUGGGUGCUGCACCCCACCCCUGGCGCUGGACAGCGGCUGCCCUGGGCAGCUCCCUCUCCCGAGACACAUUUCCGUAGUACAGGUGGGGAAUUGGGCACCCAGUUCCCAUGGCACUCGCCACCUCCUGGUCCCACAGGGAGUCGGUACCAAUGCCAGAACUGAACCCAGUUCUCCUGAGGCCCAGACGAGUCCAUCGCUUUGUCAUAAAAAUCUCCUGGCCUUCCCGAGGAGUGGGAGCGCAUGGCUGCCCCAAAGGCAGCGGGCUGGGAAGCGGGCCCCCUUGGUGCCGGGUAUCCACCCCGCUUGCUGCUGCAGGGAAUGGGGCUUCCAAGGUGUGACGCAGUAGGGAGCGGGGAGGAUUGACCUGGGACUGUCUGCAUGGGGGAUGGGAGAGCAGGGGAUGACUCCACUUGAGUGAGGAUACCUGAGCUGGGAACGGGGUUGGACCCAGUUGACACCUUUGCCGGGGAAACUGGACAAAGGCGGGGGAAGGAGUGAGACUGCUGCAGUGGAGUAUCAGUCUUGGGCUGGCUGGGGAAUCGUAGGGAACCCCGAGGUUGGGGUCUAAGCUUCCUACCCCCCAGAAGGACCUGACUGAGGGGUCCUGGUUGUACCUACACGCUCUGCUUGGGAGUGUGUUCCUGUCGUCUAAUAAAUCUUCUGUUCUACUGCCUGGCUGAGAGUCACGGUGAAUCGCAGGAAGCCGGGGGUCACAGGGCCUUGUCUCCCCCCCAACUCCAUGACACAAGGUUAUUAAUUGAUUUCAGGAAGAGCUUAAUCUAGAAUGGCACAGGGGCACGGGAGUCACUCAGGCCCCGUCAGUGUUCGACACCUGCUGCUGCAGCCAUAACCCCUCAGCUGCUUAAAAUCUCCCUGGUGGGGGGACACCACUGAGGAGCCCCAUUAGUAGAGCAGCCCUCUCCCCUCUGCUGCACGCCUGCCAGAUCGCAAGCGCCGUCAGGGCUGGGCUGGGUCAUUCACCUGUCCUACCUCGUAGCCUGUUUGCCCCGGUGCGGAAGUUCAGGCCGGGGGUGAGAAGGGAGCCUGGUGCUGAAGUUUGUUGCAAGCCGGGGAGGAGGGACAGGAGCCCUGGAGUGGGCUAGCGCCAGCCCUAGAUAACCCAAAACAAACUGCCAGUGUCCAGGUUUCCAUGCCACUUACCAAGGCUCGGGGCACCCUCUGGUGGCCAAAGGCAGGGACAGAGGGGUUUGAAAAUCGACUCUCCUCCCCGGCACCGGGAAGGCGGCUGCACUGCUCAGAGGGAGGCUCGCUCAGUGUGGGGAGAAGCAGGCCCCACAGACGGAGAAGUGCCAGGGGCCCGACAGGCUGAGCCCCCACUGGGCACCGAUGAAAAGGCAGUUUGGAGACCAGCUGAGCCAUUUGGAGACUCGGACCCCACUCGUUGGCGCUGUAGCUUGGCAAUCUGCCCGGAGCUCCCGAGGUCACUUACACCAGGGCCGCAGGCGUGUGAGCGGCAGCGAGCCAGACGGGGCGCGGGAAAGGCUGGCUCAAUAAGGUCUAGGCUAGGAUGUGACGGUAUGACAUGACCACACUGGCUACCGACUGUUUGCAGCCAAGGCCUUUAACAGGGUGGAACUGGCUCAGGUAACGCCUCAGCGCCGCUAACACAGCUUAACCUCGCGCCCGAAAGCCUCAGCUAGCCCAGGUCUCAACCGCAUGGCUAAGCGGUGAUGGGCACUGCAGCACCGGAGGCGGGGGAACGGUAUACACAGCUAUCGAAUGCCAGAGACAUACACGCUGCUUAGGCAUGUCUCUUUAAGGCAAGUGCAAGGGACUGUGGGGGUGAAAACCCCAAAUGAUGAUUUUUAAUGCCCGUUUUUCAGAUGUAAAGGGACAACAUCCACACGCAACCAUUGUGUUUCUGCCUGCCUAGCACCUCUGCGUAGCAGCCAGGGCCCAGGCCUGGGACUGGGGCUGCAGGAGCAGAGCGGUGCCUGGGAUGGCGCAGCAGGGCGGGAGGGAGCUGGACCAGAGGCUCUGCACGCUGAGGAGGUGGCUGGCAGAGAGCCCAGCCGGAGCUGCCCGACCCCGAGCCACAGCUGCCCAGUGCCAGCACAUGGCUGGGCGGUGAUGACUGGCUGAUUGAGAGGAGCGGGGAGAGAGCUCACAUCAAGAGCACGCUCCACCACACGCCGAACAGGCUCCAGCCCUACCUGCAGCACAUCGCGAG